Homo sapiens (human) is the source of this 422-nucleotide long non-coding RNA. Ensembl annotates it as CD44 divergent transcript. Its record names the gene CD44-DT. The record is from Ensembl. NCBI's taxonomy places the organism in Eukaryota, Metazoa, Chordata, Mammalia, Primates, Hominidae.
AGGAACCAUGCCAGGACUUCUGAGGGAAGGAAGAGUGUUUGGGACUGAAAAAUCCUUGUCUGGAUCUAGUCCUCAGCCACUCAGAAGCUGGCAUGCCAUGACUCAAAGAGCCGCCCGUCUGGAAUGAAGACAGUGACCCGUAACUCCCACCUGAAGAGCAGGUGCUUGGAAAAUGCUGCCAGUCCGCAGGAAAAAGUUGUUACUGCUGCUGUCUGUGACCAAGAGGACACUUUAUUUCUUGAAACAACUGGGGGCAAACUGGCUCCCAGAUAAGGCUUCAGUCCCUACUCAUGUGAGGAAACCAGCCCUGGUAGGUUCCAUGCACAAGAAUACAGGACAAGGAGCAGCUUUUUUCACCUCAUGCAACCUCCAGGGAUUUCAGCUUCCUUUUCUUGGAGCAAGAAAGUGAAGUGACGUGGGGA